This 148-nucleotide non-coding RNA is filed under the name Nomascus leucogenys (northern white-cheeked gibbon). Lineage: Eukaryota; Metazoa; Chordata; Mammalia; Primates; Hylobatidae. The record is from Rfam by way of RNAcentral.
GCUGGCUGUGGUGGUGCACACCUGUAGUCCCAGCUACUUGGGAGGCUGAGGUGGGGGGAUUGCUUGAGCCUGGGAGGUUGGGGCUGCAGUGAGCUAUGAUUGUGCCACUGCAUGCCAGCCUGGCCAACACAGCAAGACCCUGUCUCUA